This 83-nucleotide transfer RNA is filed under the name Actinomadura kijaniata. RNAcentral describes it as "tRNA-Tyr". It matches the Rfam family "tRNA". From Rfam's summary of the family: Transfer RNA (tRNA) molecules are approximately 80 nucleotides in length. Lineage: Bacteria; Bacillati; Actinomycetota; Actinomycetes; Streptosporangiales; Thermomonosporaceae. The record is from RNAcentral.
GGGGCGGCGCCGGAGCAGGAGAGUCGGACUUGCCUGUAAAGCAAGCGCUUAACGCUGAGUGGGUUCGAAUCCCACCCGCCCCA